AGAAACACCCCGUGCUGAUGAAGGCCCUUCAGGUCCCCCACUUUCUCCAAAUGAAGAACAACAUCAUGGGAUCCAAGGGAGUGCUGUGCUUCACGAUUUGAAUGCGCAACUUUCAGAACUUAAGUCACAGAAUAAAGUAUUAACCGUGGAGAUGGACGCCAUCAAGUCACAGAUGUCGAGCCUCAACUCUGAUCAGG
Molecule: long non-coding RNA, 197 nt
Organism: Olea europaea var. sylvestris
Lineage: Eukaryota; Viridiplantae; Streptophyta; Magnoliopsida; Lamiales; Oleaceae
Exons: 2
Source: RefSeq, a predicted model, not a curated record